GCUUCAUCCGGUUCCAUGACGAGGCCACCGUGUGCUCACCAAGAAGACAUGCCACACAAGUGGAAGGACGCAUCUUUGGACAAGGUGAAGGAGAAAGAUGUGAAGAUUCCGCCAUGUUGGUGCGGAGAUGUUUGCAAGGUGAAGGAUUCCACCGACCGAAAGAAGUCAUGGACCGAAGGAAGGAGAUAUUUUGUUUGCCCGAAUUAUGCUUACGAUCGUGCGCUUCCGACUAACGCCUAUGACCUUCCACCGGUAUGCUAG
RNAcentral lists this ribosomal RNA (261 nucleotides) under Triticum aestivum (bread wheat). Its description in RNAcentral is "partial small subunit ribosomal RNA". Lineage: Eukaryota; Viridiplantae; Streptophyta; Magnoliopsida; Poales; Poaceae. The record is from RNAcentral.